UACGGAGGGUGCAAGCGUUAAUCGGAAUUACUGGGCGUAAAGCGCACGUAGGCUGUAGUGUAAGUCAGGGGUGAAAUCCCACGGCUCAACCGUGGAACUGCCUUUGAUACUGCACAACUUGAAUCCGGGAGAGGGUGGCGGAAUUCCAGGUGUAGGAGUGAAAUCCGUAGAUAUCUGGAGGAACAUCAGUGGCGAAGGCGGCCACCUGGACCGGUAUUGACGCUGAGGUGCGAAAGCGUGGGGAGCAAACAGG
RNAcentral lists this ribosomal RNA (253 nucleotides) under uncultured bacterium. RNAcentral's name for it is "partial 16S ribosomal RNA". It matches the Rfam family "Bacterial small subunit ribosomal RNA", at positions 524 to 776 of the family's 1533-position model. RNAcentral also lists the same sequence under 2 other names. The record is from RNAcentral.